AUCCAGACUCCUACGGGAGGCAGCAGUGGGGAAUAUUGCACAAUGGGGGAAACCCUGAUGCAGCGACGCCGCGUGAGCGAUGAAGUAUUUCGGUAUGUAAAGCUCUAUCAGCAGGGAAGAAAAUGACGGUACCUGACUAAGAAGCCCCGGCUAACUACGUGCCAGCAGCCGCGGUAAUACGUAGGGGGCAAGCGUUAUCCGGAUUUACUGGGUGUAAAGGGAGCGUAGACGGCUGUGCAAGCCAGAUGUGAAAGCCCGGGGCUCAACCCCGGGACUGCAUUUGGAACUGUGUGGCUGGAGUGUCGGAGAGGCAGGCGGAAUUCCUAGUGUAGCGGUGAAAUGCGUAGAUAUUAGGAGGAACACCAGUGGCGAAGGCGGCCUGCUGGACGAUGACUGACGUUGAGGCUCGAAAGCGUGGGGAGCAAACAGGAUUAGAUACCCCAGUAC
This 447-nucleotide ribosomal RNA is filed under the name uncultured bacterium. RNAcentral describes it as "bacterial SSU rRNA". It matches the Rfam family "Bacterial small subunit ribosomal RNA", at positions 329 to 793 of the family's 1533-position model. The record is from RNAcentral.